Molecule: ribosomal RNA, 1331 nt
Filed under: Lethal yellowing phytoplasma
Lineage: Bacteria; Bacillati; Mycoplasmatota; Mollicutes; Acholeplasmatales; Acholeplasmataceae
Description: 16S ribosomal RNA
Rfam family: Bacterial small subunit ribosomal RNA
Source: RNAcentral
GUGGCGAACGGGUGAGUACACGUAAGCAACCUGCCCUUAAGACGAGAAUAACAAUUGGAAACAGUUGCUAAGGCUGGAUAGGAAAUAAAAAGGCAUCUUUUUAUUUUUAAAAGACCUUUUUCGGAAGGUAUGCUUAAAGAGGGGCUUGCGUCACAUUAGUUAGUUGGUAGGGUAAAGGCCUACCAAGACGAUGAUGUGUAGCUGGACUGAGAGGUUGAACAGCCACAUUGGGACUGAGACACGGCCCAAACUCCUACGGGAGGCAGCAGUAGGGAAUUUUCGGCAAUGGAGGAAACUCUGACCGAGCAACGCCGCGUGAACGACGAAGUACUUCGGUAUGUAAAGUUCUUUUAUUGAAGAAGAAACAAUAGUGGAAAAACUAUCUUGACGUUAUUCAAUGAAUAAGCCCCGGCUAACUAUGUGCCAGCAGCCGCGGUAAUACAUAGGGGGCGAGCGUUAUCCGGAAUUAUUGGGCGUAAAGGGUGCGUAGGCGGUUUAAUAAGUCUCUAGUUUAAUUUCAACGCUUAACGUUGUCCUGCUAGAGAAACUGUUUAACUAGAGUGAGAUAGAGGUAAGCGGAAUUCCAUGUGUAGCGGUAAAAUGUGUAAAUAUAUGGAGGAACACCAGAGGCGUAGGCGGCUUACUGGGUCUUUACUGACGCUGAUGCACGAAAGCGUGGGGAGCAAACAGGAUUAGAUACCCUGGUAGUCCACGCCGUAAACUAUGAGUACUAAGUGUCGGGGUUAAACUCGGUACUGAAGUUAACACAUUAAGUACUCCGCCUGAGUAGUACGUACGCAAGUAUGAAACUUAAAGGAAUUGACGGGAUCCCGCACAAGCGGUGGAUCAUGUUGUUUAUUCGAAGAUACACGAAAAACCUUACCAGGUCUUGACAUACUCUGCAAAGCUAUAGAAAUAUAGUGGAGGUUAUCAGGGAUACAGGUGGUGCAUGGUUGUCGUCAGCUCGUGUCGUGAGAUGUUAGGUUAAGUUCUAAAACGAGCGCAACCCCUGUCGUUAAUUGCCAGCACGUUAUGGUGGGGACUUUAGCGAGACUGCCAAUGAAAAAUUGGAGGAAGGUGGGGAUUACGUCAAAUCAUCAUGCCCCUUAUGAUCUGGGCUACAAACGUGAUACAAUGGCUAUUACAAAGAGUAGCUGAAACGCGAGUUUUUGGCAAAUCUCAAAAAAAUAGUCUCAGUUCGGAUUGAAGUCUACAGCUCGACUUCAUGAAGUUGGAAUCGCUAGUAAUCGCGAAUCAGCAUGUCGCGGUGAAUACGUUCUCGGGGUUUGUACACACCGCCCGUCAAACCACGAAAGUGGACAAUACCCGAA